AGUGGUCAACGUGUCUAAUUAUGAAGUUUAUUCUCGGUUCUUGUUUGAAUUCUCUAUGAGUCACCUAAUGAUUAGUUGAGGAGGUCACCAUAUGCUAAAGAAAAAUGGAAAUUUUUAUUAUGCCUUAAAUUUACCGGUAUACUGUGGAAAAAAAACAAGUUGAAUGUGGGGAAUUCCCACAUCUUGCAAAGAAAAAUUGAAGGUCAUAUAAAGUCCAAGUCAACCAAGCCGAAGUGGCUUGUGCCAUUUUGGAGUUGUGCCAAGUCCAAUCCAAUCGCAGUUGUCGGCCUGUUUGUGUUCCGACUUCCCUAGCCCGAGGAUAGCGAAUGAGCCAAAAAAAUACCCGAACCAAGAAAAUGGAUCAGCAAUCACCCCAUGCACAAAUUCAUGUAUUAGCCAACCUUAGAGACCAAGGAGCCGAAUUUUUUUUUUUUUUCCUUAGCAUGGAAAUUUCAGUCUGACGAUGGAAUGGAGAAUGAGAUAGUGGAGAAGCUAGCAGGGAUCUCCUCAUAAAGACCCAACGCUCUCUCCAAAUUAGCAACAAUAUCAACAAUAUCAGGCCUCUUCUUUCCUUCCAAGCUUACACAAUGCAUUGCUGUGUAGGCCAUCAACUCCACGGCUUCGGCCUCAUGCAUCUCUGGUGGCCCCACCCUUUUAUCCAACACCUUUUGCAUUUCCCCUGAUAAUAUCAGUGGUGAUACAUACUCCACAAGUCCCAUUGGCCCUGCACCUUCUUCAGUCUUGAACACUGCUCUCUUUCCAGUCAAAAGCUCUAAUAACACAACACCUAGACCAUAAACAUCACUUUUGGCUGUUAGCACAUUUAAUACAUAAUACUCAGGAUCAAUAUAUCCUACUGUUCCAACUGCCUUGGUUGACAUGAAUUCUUGAUCAGAUUCUGGCCCCAUUAAUGAUAACCCAAAAUCGGAUACUCUAGCACUCCAAUUUGCAUCUAGAAGUAUGUUUGAGGACUUGAUAUCUCUGUGAAUUAUAGGUGGCACCGCAUAGUUGUGGAGAUAGUUGAUUCCCGUGGCAGCGUCCAAUGCAAUUUUGAUCCUCAUUUUCCAGGAAUUCAAAAUGCUGCUACUCUUUUCAACAUUGUUGUUGUUAUGUAAAUGACUAUGAAGAGAUCCAUUGCUCAUGUACUCAUAAACCAACAGCCUCUCAUCCUUUUCUUCACAGAAACCUACUAGUUCCACUAAAUGCUUAUGGUGAAGCCGAGAUAACAAUGCUAGUUCUGAAUCAAACGCACUUUCUUUCUCUUGGAAUUUCUUUGUCUUCGUACCAGUUUCCCCUCUCUUAAUAGCCACUUCAAAACCAUUGGCAAGUUUGCCUUUGUAAACGAUGCCAAAGCUCCCAGCACCAAUCUUGUUUUCCGAUGAGAAAUUGUUUGUAGCAGCAACAAGCUCUGAUAGGAAAAAUUUCUGAGUCUUGUCUGUACGCUUAGAAGAUGAUCCACUUCUCUGGCGCCCCAAUCUUCUCGAGCUUUGAUGCCUAACAGAAUAUGAUCUUAAAGAUGGGGUAGUAGAACCAUUGUUAGUCAUAGCAGCAGCAUUCACUUUCAGGUUGGGAUUGAUAAUUGAGGGCUGCACAGAAUUAUGAUGUAAAAAUCUGCGUAAACAAUAAAUAAUAGUGCAGAUGCCUGCAAAGGCACCAACAGAUCCGACAAUCGCAAAAGCCAAAGAAAGCUUAUUUUUGGCCCUUGAUGGAGAAAGUGGUUGUACUUGCUGAGAUGGUGGUGUUAUUCUCGGAGGCAAGGGCACGGCAAUUGGAAGAUCAAUCUGGCAUGAUUUACAGAUAUUCCCAGACCCAUCACACAAAACCUCAGAGUCUGGAUACACACCGCAUGUGCCACAAGAAGACUGAACACAAGAACCUGGAAUCAUAAUUCCCAGUGGAAGCUCAUUUCCAUGAUGAAGCACAUUAGACCAUCCCAGACCCCAACAAAUAAUCGAUAAAUUCCCCGUUGUAAGCCCACAUGUGAAAUCCAAACCAGCAACAAUCAACUCAAAGGGAACGCUUUCCAAUAUUUUGCUAUUAAGUCGGAGUUUAUUUGUCCCACCCCAGCAUGCUCCUAAUCCGUUGCUUUGCUUAAUAGCACAGCUAAAAUCUGAUCCUAGAGCAAUACCUGAAAACGCAAAAGCCGAACUAAAAGGAACAUCCAAUUGCCCUGACCCGUUGCUUCCUUUACACACCAGAAAUCCACUGGCAUUCAAUCCACAAGCAUGAGACUCUCCAGCAACCAAGUUUAACAUCUUUAAAUUCGCAAACUGUCUUUGAAUCGCAGCUCCAACAUCAUUAUUACCCCAACAAUAAACUCUACUGUUGUUCCUCAAAAUUCCACACGUAAAGCCACUCCCAGAUGUGAGUGUACUAAACUUUAGAGCCACCGCAGGCAAUGGAAAAGGAGAUCUACCUCUGCCUUUGCCUCUCCAACACUUAGCUAUGCCAGAGUUGACCUCUCUUGCGCAAACCUGAUCAUCUCCAACGGUUAGAUCAGUUAGCUGAAUGUUGUUACUGUGGUAGAUGCGCUUGGGUUGAAAGCUUGAGUUUGUUGUAGCUACGGUCUCCCAGCAGAAAACACUGAAGCCUCCAGAGCGGAGGCCACAGAAGAAGGUCUGUCCUCCAGAUAUAGAUUCAAAGGAAACACUGGGCUGGAUAGAGAUCACAUGGCCAUUUUGAUAGCAUUGGAUUCUUUGGAUGGGCUCACCGGCAAUGAUACCGCAGACAGUAGCAGUGCUAUAGGUGACAGCGAUGGUGGAGGCAGAGCCAAGGCCGUCUACCACAGUAGCAGUGUAGAGCAGAGAGGUAAUAGCAGUGAUGAUAAAGACAAUGGUGAGAUAGGAAGGGUUGUGUGUCAUUUGAAAGAUUGGAAUGGGGCACCUCUCUUCUUCAUUGAAA
This 2901-nucleotide unclassified non-coding RNA is filed under the name Hevea brasiliensis (rubber tree). The record is from RNAcentral. Lineage: Eukaryota; Viridiplantae; Streptophyta; Magnoliopsida; Malpighiales; Euphorbiaceae.